Molecule: ribosomal RNA, 465 nt
Filed under: uncultured bacterium
Lineage: Bacteria
Description: bacterial SSU rRNA
Rfam family: Bacterial small subunit ribosomal RNA
Source: RNAcentral
CCUACGGGAGGCAGCAGUGGGGAAUAUUGCACAAUGGGCGCAAGCCUGAUGCAGCCAUGCCGCGUGUAUGAAGAAGGCCUUCGGGUUGUACAGUACUUUCAGUCGGGAGGAAGGUGGUGAGCUUAAUACGCUCAUCAAUUGUCGUUACCGACAGAAGAAGCACCGGCUAACUCCGUGCCAGCAGCCGCGGUAAUACGGAGGGUGCAAGCGUUAAUCGGAAUUACUGGGCGUAAAGCGCACGCAGGCGGUUGAUUGAGUCAGAUGUGAAAUCCCCGGGCUUAACCCGGGAAUUGCAUCUGAUACUGGUCAGCUAGAGUCUUGUAGAGGGGGGUAGAAUUCCAUGUGUAGCGGUGAAAUGCGUAGAGAUGUGGAGGAAUACCGGUGGCGAAGGCGGCCCCCUGGACAAAGACUGACGCUCAGGUGCGAAAGCGUGGGGAGCAAACAGGAUUAGAUACCCCUGUAGUC